This 2551-nucleotide ribosomal RNA is filed under the name human gut metagenome. Its description in RNAcentral is "bacterial LSU rRNA". It matches the Rfam family "Bacterial large subunit ribosomal RNA", at positions 14 to 2590 of the family's 2925-position model. The record is from RNAcentral.
AGCGUACACGGUGGAUGCCCUGGCAGUCAGAGGCGAUGAAGGACGUGCUAAUCUGCGAUAAGCGUCGGUAAGGUGAUAUGAACCGUUAUAACCGGCGAUUUCCGAAUGGGGAAACCCAGUGUGUUUCGACACACUAUCAUUAACUGAAUCCAUAGGUUAAUGAGGCGAACCGGGGGAACUGAAACAUCUAAGUACCCCGAGGAAAAGAAAUCAACCGAGAUUCCCCCAGUAGCGGCGAGCGAACGGGGAGCAGCCCAGAGCCUGAAUCAGUGUGUGUGUUAGUGGAAGCGUCUGGAAAGGCGCGCGAUACAGGGUGACAGCCCCGUACACAAAAAUGCACAUGCUGUGAGCUCGAUGAGUAGGGCGGGACACGUGGUAUCCUGUCUGAAUAUGGGGGGACCAUCCUCCAAGGCUAAAUACUCCUGACUGACCGAUAGUGAACCAGUACCGUGAGGGAAAGGCGAAAAGAACCCCGGCGAGGGGAGUGAAAAAGAACCUGAAACCGUGUACGUACAAGCAGUGGGAGCACGCUUAGGCGUGUGACUGCGUACCUUUUGUAUAAUGGGUCAGCGACUUAUAUUCUGUAGCAAGGUUAACCGAAUAGGGGAGCCGAAGGGAAACCGAGUCUUAACUGGGCGUUAAGUUGCAGGGUAUAGACCCGAAACCCGGUGAUCUAGCCAUGGGCAGGUUGAAGGUUGGGUAACACUAACUGGAGGACCGAACCGACUAAUGUUGAAAAAUUAGCGGAUGACUUGUGGCUGGGGGUGAAAGGCCAAUCAAACCGGGAGAUAGCUGGUUCUCCCCGAAAGCUAUUUAGGUAGCGCCUCGUGAAUUCAUCUCCGGGGGUAGAGCACUGUUUCGGCAAGGGGGUCAUCCCGACUUACCAACCCGAUGCAAACUGCGAAUACCGGAGAAUGUUAUCACGGGAGACACACGGCGGGUGCUAACGUCCGUCGUGAAGAGGGAAACAACCCAGACCGCCAGCUAAGGUCCCAAAGUCAUGGUUAAGUGGGAAACGAUGUGGGAAGGCCCAGACAGCCAGGAUGUUGGCUUAGAAGCAGCCAUCAUUUAAAGAAAGCGUAAUAGCUCACUGGUCGAGUCGGCCUGCGCGGAAGAUGUAACGGGGCUAAACCAUGCACCGAAGCUGCGGCAGCGACGCUUAUGCGUUGUUGGGUAGGGGAGCGUUCUGUAAGCCUGUGAAGGUGUACUGUGAGGUAUGCUGGAGGUAUCAGAAGUGCGAAUGCUGACAUAAGUAACGAUAAAGCGGGUGAAAAGCCCGCUCGCCGGAAGACCAAGGGUUCCUGUCCAACGUUAAUCGGGGCAGGGUGAGUCGACCCCUAAGGCGAGGCCGAAAGGCGUAGUCGAUGGGAAACAGGUUAAUAUUCCUGUACUUGGUGUUACUGCGAAGGGGGGACGGAGAAGGCUAUGUUGGCCGGGCGACGGUUGUCCCGGUUUAAGCGUGUAGGCUGGUUUUCCAGGCAAAUCCGGAAAAUCAAGGCUGAGGCGUGAUGACGAGGCACUACGGUGCUGAAGCAACAAAUGCCCUGCUUCCAGGAAAAGCCUCUAAGCAUCAGGUAACAUCAAAUCGUACCCCAAACCGACACAGGUGGUCAGGUAGAGAAUACCAAGGCGCUUGAGAGAACUCGGGUGAAGGAACUAGGCAAAAUGGUGCCGUAACUUCGGGAGAAGGCACGCUGAUAUGUAGGUGAAGUCCCUCGCGGAUGGAGCUGAAAUCAGUCGAAGAUACCAGCUGGCUGCAACUGUUUAUUAAAAACACAGCACUGUGCAAACACGAAAGUGGACGUAUACGGUGUGACGCCUGCCCGGUGCCGGAAGGUUAAUUGAUGGGGUCAGCGCAAGCGAAGCUCUUGAUCGAAGCCCCGGUAAACGGCGGCCGUAACUAUAACGGUCCUAAGGUAGCGAAAUUCCUUGUCGGGUAAGUUCCGACCUGCACGAAUGGCGUAAUGAUGGCCAGGCUGUCUCCACCCGAGACUCAGUGAAAUUGAACUCGCUGUGAAGAUGCAGUGUACCCGCGGCAAGACGGAAAGACCCCGUGAACCUUUACUAUAGCUUGACACUGAACAUUGAGCCUUGAUGUGUAGGAUAGGUGGGAGGCUUUGAAGUGUGGACGCCAGUCUGCAUGGAGCCGACCUUGAAAUACCACCCUUUAAUGUUUGAUGUUCUAACGUUGACCCGUAAUCCGGGUUGCGGACAGUGUCUGGUGGGUAGUUUGACUGGGGCGGUCUCCUCCUAAAGAGUAACGGAGGAGCACGAAGGUUGGCUAAUCCUGGUCGGACAUCAGGAGGUUAGUGCAAUGGCAUAAGCCAGCUUGACUGCGAGCGUGACGGCGCGAGCAGGUGCGAAAGCAGGUCAUAGUGAUCCGGUGGUUCUGAAUGGAAGGGCCAUCGCUCAACGGAUAAAAGGUACUCCGGGGAUAACAGGCUGAUACCGCCCAAGAGUUCAUAUCGACGGCGGUGUUUGGCACCUCGAUGUCGGCUCAUCACAUCCUGGGGCUGAAGUAGGUCCCAAGGGUAUGGCUGUUCGCCAUUUA